UGCAGUCCAGCCCCACUGCCUCACCCGGUUAGAGGCAUUCGAGACAGUCAAGGCUGCUAACCUGAGCUCUCCUUCCACGCUCUUCGAGUUCAAAUCCAGGCCCUUCAGCUUUACCAACAAUCUUGGGCAAGACAGUCAAGUUCCCUGAGCAUCUGUUUCCUCCAUCUGAAAAUGGGACAUUUUCUCCUCUGAAAAUGGAAUAAAAAUCUGCAACAGAGAUCGAAGCCUGCUUCCCGGUUUCUUCAGCCUGAGCCUGCACCUCUGCUUUUUAUUGGAGAACAGCUGAAAUCCCUUUCAUAAUCCGCUGUUAUCUUACAAGCACAAUUCCAUUCCUUCUGCUCGACAGACUCUGAAGGCGGACACAUUCCACGGCGGGGUAAAUGGAAUGAAAUUCAGAGAGUUCGUAACAUGUUCGCAAUCACGUAAGCGUUACGUGUGGCAACCACAACUGGAAAUCCCAGUUUCUGCCUCCUGCCUCCAGAACUGGGUUUCUUUUCUCCAGAGAAUAUAACCAGCCAAGCCAGGAACAACUUGACAGGUGCAUUUCCCUCUCUCCUACUAGCCAGCUACAAAGACAGACACACACAGUUUUCUGCUACUCUUUGCAAGGGGAUAAACUUCGUUGUACCUUUUGAAAAUUCCCAGACAGCCUUCUGGAAUUUUCUACCGCACCGAACUAGAUUAUUCUUGGCAGAAGACUCUGCGGCUGACCUUGACCCUCCCUGCCCACACCACCCUUCAUAGCACCAGCGUAUCCUUUUUUCUCCAUACUCAUGAAGGAAUAAAGUUGAUAUUUUUUCAAAUUU
Molecule: long non-coding RNA, 806 nt
Organism: Neofelis nebulosa (Clouded leopard)
Lineage: Eukaryota; Metazoa; Chordata; Mammalia; Carnivora; Felidae
Exons: 2
Source: RefSeq, a predicted model, not a curated record